Molecule: ribosomal RNA, 984 nt
Filed under: Triticum aestivum (bread wheat)
Lineage: Eukaryota; Viridiplantae; Streptophyta; Magnoliopsida; Poales; Poaceae
Description: partial small subunit ribosomal RNA
Source: RNAcentral
CAGAUCGCGGCUGUUGGACAUGCGAUUAUGACUACCAGAUCCCCAGACAUCCCCUGGCAGAUGAGGGCAGCCCGGGUGCUGCCCAUGUUCUUGGUUCCUGCUUUAGCUGCUCUCAUCUACUCAGCUAUUACAAGCAUUGCGAAAUUUCUUGAUAAUAGAGAUCAACAUACUCUUGAAAAGCUUCGUGCUGAAAGGCAGGCCAAGAUUGAUGAGUUGAAGGAGAGAACAAACUACUACACUACCCAGCAACUUAUACAGAGAUAUGAUCUUGACCCUGCUGCAAAGGCGGCUGCAGCAAGUGUUUUGGCAUCUAAGCUGGGCGCAGAUUCUGGAUUGAGAGUCUUUUUGGGAGAUGAGUCGAACGUGGAUGGAAGUAAAAGUAAUGAUCAGCACGGACAGACUUCUGGCCUGAGGCAAAGAAAACCAGCCCACUCAGGUCAUGGCUCUGGACCGACCCAUGCCUCUGAGCCAUCAGACGGCUCGAGUAUAUAUGAUGGUAACGAAAGCCCCACUGCAAAUCGGACUGUUGAGCACUUUAGAGGCCAUGCUGGCAAUGAUGGCGGAUGGCUCGCACGGGUGGCCGCUCUGCUUGUAGGGGAGGAUCCAACACAGUGCUUUGCACUAAUAUGUGGCAACUGCCAUAUGCAUAAUGGCCUUGCGAGGAAAGAGGACUUUGCAUUCGUUACAUACUACUGUCCUCACUGCAAUGCUCUCAACGGAUCGCGGCAACAGGAGGACGGUGAAAUGGUGACUCCUACCGACCGCUCCUUUGGUAACAGCGUCCAAGCCGGCGCCAGCCUUGCGGACUCGGGCGUCAGCAGUCCUGUUGGGAGGAGCUUGCCGACCGUUGAAGAACUGCCUGCAGAAAGUUCUGGUGCGAGUAACUCAACGAUCGCUGAACAGCCUCGAGCAGAGAGUUCUUCUGCCGCAAAUAACUUACCACCAACUGUUGAAGUUCCACCCGCCGAUCAGCUUGCCAGCUGA